Molecule: long non-coding RNA, 276 nt
Filed under: Malus domestica (apple)
Lineage: Eukaryota; Viridiplantae; Streptophyta; Magnoliopsida; Rosales; Rosaceae
Description: long non-coding RNA (MDOM_LNC011325)
Source: RNAcentral
GUACUUGAUUUCGUUGGUCAACAACUUUGGCCGUAAUUUUAGGCAGCUUUUUUAUUUAAUGUAGUACCUUUAUCUACUCUUCUUUUUUAUUUAAAACAUCCAGGUUAGUCUAAAUUUAAUUUGUUUGUUUGGUCCAAACUCUUACUCAUCAGGGUAAUAAACAAGUAACAAUUAAACUGAUAAUGUCCCUACCAACCCUGAGCCAGUUGACAAAGAACUGAGUCUGUAUUUUGGGAGAACUAACUUGUAUGCCAAGGGUAAACUGUCACGGUAGCG